CGAACGAAGCCUUCGGGCUUAGUGGCGCACGGGUGCGUAACGCGUGGGAAUCUGCCCUUGGGUUCGGAAUAACACAGAGAAAUUUGUGCUAAUACCGGAUGAUGUCUUCGGACCAAAGAUUUAUCGCCCAAGGAUGAGCCCGCGUUAGAUUAGGUAGUUGGUGGGGUAAUGGCCUACCAAGCCGACGAUCUAUAGCUGGUCUGAGAGGAUGAUCAGCCACACUGGGACUGAGACACGGCCCAGACUCCUACGGGAGGCAGCAGUGGGGAAUAUUGGACAAUGGGCGAAAGCCUGAUCCAGCAAUGCCGCGUGAGUGAUGAAGGCCUUAGGGUUGUAAAGCUCUUUUACCCGAGAUGAUAAUGACAGUAUCGGGAGAAUAAGCUCCGGCUAACUCCGUGCCAGCAGCCGCGGUAAUACGGAGGGAGCUAGCGUUGUUCGGAAUUACUGGGCGUAAAGCGCACGUAGGCGGCUUUUUAAGUCAGGGGUGAAAUCCCGGGGCUCAGCCCCGGAACUGCCCUUGAAACUGGAUGGCUAGAAUACUGGAGAGGUGAGUGGAAUUCCGAGUGUAGAGGUGAAAUUCGUAGAUAUUCGGAAGAACACCAGUGGCGAAGGCGACUCACUGGACAGUUA
This 630-nucleotide ribosomal RNA is filed under the name uncultured bacterium. Its description in RNAcentral is "bacterial SSU rRNA". It matches the Rfam family "Bacterial small subunit ribosomal RNA", at positions 63 to 739 of the family's 1533-position model. The record is from RNAcentral.